This 366-nucleotide ribosomal RNA is filed under the name Triticum aestivum (bread wheat). RNAcentral's name for it is "partial small subunit ribosomal RNA". Lineage: Eukaryota; Viridiplantae; Streptophyta; Magnoliopsida; Poales; Poaceae. The record is from RNAcentral.
AUGGAUGCCGAGGUGUUCAAGGCGCUGCUCCGUUUCGCGUAUACUGGCUCCUUGCCAGAGAUGCGCAAGGAAGAGGAAGAUGUCACCUGCCAGCAUCUGCUCGUCGCGGCGGACAGGUACAGCAUGGAGCGGCUGAAGCUGAUCUGCGAGGAGAAGCUGUGCGAGUACAUCGAUGUUGGCAGGGCGGCGACCAUCCUCAUGCUAGCCGAGCAGCACCACUGUGAGGGGCUGAAGAAGGCGUGCUUCAAUUUUCUCGCCUUGCCGGCAAAUCUGAGAGCCACCGUGGCCACCGACGGCUUACAACAUCUCAGCGAGAGCUGGCCGUCUCUUAUGGUCAAGCUCAUGGCCAUGUCAUUGGAUAACGCC